UAACCCCAGAGGGCUCCUUCCUAAUCACCUUUGGCAGAUGGAUGUAACCACUUACUUACCGUUUGGCCGCCUUAAAUACAUCCAUGUCUCCAUCGACACCUUCUCUAACUAUAUUUUUGCUACUGCACACUCCGGUGAAGCUUUUGUAGAUGUCCAAAAUCAUCUUUUCGCAGCAUUCGCAGUUCUGGGCAUGCCAAAGGCUCUUAAAACCGACAAUGGUUCAGCCUAUACCUCUUCAGCAUUCCAGACCUUUUGUGCAAAUUUUCACAUCACUCAUACAACAGGCAUUCCCUAUAAUUCUCAAGGUCAAGCCAUUGUCGAAAGAGCCCACUCCACCUUCAAAAUGUACCUCAAAAAAUUAAAAGAGGGGGAAAUACUACAGGGGAAAAUAAAAUAUUCACCUCACUUACACCUUUCAUUAGUACUCUUUGUUUUAAAUUUUUUGAAUGUUGACUCGGUUGGCCGCACUGCCGCCGAGCGUUUUUGGCAGCCUGAGCGGGCUCCCCUCCUCUAUGCGAAGUGGCGUGACCGCGCCACCGCGGAGUGGAGGGGACCCGACCCGGUCCUACGCCAGGGCCGAGGAUGCGCUUGUAUCCUUCCCCAGGAUGAGGAGACGCCACGCUGGCUCCCGCUUCGAUGCGUCCGCAUUGUCCGUGUUGGUUUGCAGAAUGAGGCGGCUCCAGAUCCGCUCCGGGAGGACGAGGAGACGCCCCGCCUCGGAUCAGAGGAAAAUAACAUGCGGAGACAUCAAAGCCCUGACCGCUCGAGCUGAGGCCACCGCCAUCGAUGGCCCUGAGGCGCCCCAUUAUGGAUGCGUGGUCACUUCAUCAGUCUCCCGAAGAAUCCGCUCUUGGUAUGGAACUGAGCCACCUAGAAGAGACACUUUGACACCUCAUGUAAUGGUGGAGAAUUGGGACAUCAACGAGGUUGUCCUUCAACAUCGGAGGCCCCUGCCUGUUGGCCGUUUCGGACCCGCUUCCAGAUCCCUUGAGACCCCAUACCUUGACUAUCCCCUCUGUAAAUCUGACCUAACGUGGAAAACCUACGGACCCUCUUGGAAAACCUGCGUUCAUCACAACCCAGAGAUUGUGACUCCCCAUGGCAUACCUGAUACUUAUAUAAUUGACUGGUCAAAAGACGGGGAUCUCCCUUUGCGCCGCUCCCCCCCCCCCCCCCCCCCCGCCUUCAGGAUAUGGGCCAUACGACCACAAUAAUUCUGCUCCCGGGG
This 1228-nucleotide long non-coding RNA is filed under the name Zalophus californianus (California sea lion). RNAcentral describes it as "lncRNA (ENSZCAG00015022661.1)". The record is from RNAcentral. Lineage: Eukaryota; Metazoa; Chordata; Mammalia; Carnivora; Otariidae.